Molecule: long non-coding RNA, 1768 nt
Organism: Corvus hawaiiensis (hawaiian crow)
Lineage: Eukaryota; Metazoa; Chordata; Aves; Passeriformes; Corvidae
Exons: 3
Source: RefSeq, a predicted model, not a curated record
CGGGAGGUGCCCUCCUGCUAAUUGGAGUGUGCUGAGGAGGAACCCGCUCAGCUCUGCCUGCCUUGACAUUAAGACCUAAACUUGCUGUAAAACCAAAUGGAUAUGCACACCCACAUCCACGAGGCUUUUAGUUCAGCAACAAGUGAAUCCAUCAAAGCCCAGCACCUAAUUUAAUAGCAAUAAUGAAAGGUGUGCGUCACUAUUAAUUUAAGCACUCCAACAUUAGCCUUGCACUUAGAAACCAGCAAGGCAAAGCUAUUUACAAAUGAAUGUACCAGGGCAAUAAAUUGAAAGGACUGGUCUGACCUGCGGUGGCGGCUUUCUUCAUUUAUACAUAGACAUAUUUCUAUAGAUGCAUUUAUUCCUAUCUCUUUAGCGAACUCUCCCUAAUUAAGUUGAAGUGGCAGUGGAAGUGUGGCAGUAAGUGUGGAAAGAAGCUGCUGAAAACGUAUUUAAUUCAUUAUAAAUAAUCUUUGAUACUGUGAGGUUGCAUAAAGGUUUUCAGUAUCAGAGCAGGACACCGAGGAAGGCCAAGGAGAUCAUCUGCACACAGUGGGAGUGUCUGCAUCCCGUGGUUUGACGUCCUCAUGCCAGGGAAGGGGGAGCACGACUGGUGGGAGCCUCCGUUGGCACCGGGGGCCUGUGGAGCCCCAGCUCCGGGAGCACCGCGGCACGAGCAGGCUCCCUAAUAGAGUCCCGGAGCUCCCUGACGAGACCUUGCUCUCCAGCAGGAGCACAGCCCAGCCCGCUCAGCCCCGACGCCGCUGGCAGCCCACGUGCUCCUUCAUCUACAGCUCCCGGGAAGAGGCUGAACAGCCCUGGUGAGGCCUCAUGCAGGACCUGGGGGCACCAAGACUCACCACUCUUGGGCUGAACUCUCCCAUAUUCCCAUCGCACGCCUGGGGCUCGUGCCAAGGUCAGUUUGGGAGGAACGGCAUCGGGAGAGGCGUUGGGAGCUCCAGAGCACUAAGCAGGUAUCAUGGAAGACUGUACAGGGAGGCCUGGCCUCGGUGGUGCAGGGCUGAGCCCCUGAAACCCAGAACAUAAACACAACAGGUGAGACACAGACCCUCCCUCUGCCCCAGGGGCUGCUCCCGCUGUGUUAAGGCUCAGGAAGUUUUCUCUGUACAAAAGCAAAGUGGGAGGCUGGCAGAGGGUGGGCAGUGCCAGAGGGAGCUGCCCCCAGCCCUGUGGGGAACCGGGGCAGUUCUACAAAAGUGGGGUGUGUGUGCAGAGCUCCAGUGACCUGGAGAUGGACGAAAGACACCUCUGGUGAAUUCAACCAAAAAGGCGGCUCUGGGUCCCAGCAAUCCAUUCCCGCGUUCCCUGAUGUGUUAAGGAUGGACAAGGCCAAGAUAGUUACAAAUCCCAGUACAAAGUAGUUCUUAAUUUUUAUUUUUAAAGAAUAAUAUUGAGAGAAGGUGAAGGCAUUUCUCAGUCCCCGGGUGCAAGGUGCCUCGGUGGACGCGCCACCCCCAGGGUGGCAGCAGCUGAGGGUCCCGGGCAGGAGGAUGCUCCUCUCCACCACCAAGACGUGGAUUUCCAACCACUGUGCUGCCUUUAGCAAGGAACUUCCAAUAAAGCAUUUGCAAAGCUGAAAAGCACAGUUAAAUAAAAAUAUUUUUGAACAAAACAAACACAACAGACUCGACUGUCUCAGUGCUCCCUCGCUAAGCGCUCCCCUGCCAUGGCUGCUGUUCCUGGCUCGUGGAUGCCUCCUGCACUUCAGCAACAGAAGUGAAACCAUCUGGGACUGCAGCCUCCCCCC